CCGCCAGCGCGAAGAAGGCGGCCAUGAGUCCGUUGCAGGCCCGCCACAGCGCUGGCGCCAUGGCUCGGAGAACACGGCGCGGGGCGGUGAGUCCUGCCACGUGCGGGGCGCACCUGACAUACCUGGAUAUAAACAAUAUCCAAGGCCCCUAAGGUAAAAGCCUUGCUCCAAGUCCCCUUCUGACUUCUAGUCACUUCCGUGCUGCCAGCAGAGGGCGUGGGAUUCUUCCUGAGGAGCCUGAGUCUCAGCUUUGCCAGGUCCUUGCUGUGUGACCUUGGCUCCUGUGGGGCUAUUGCAGAGGAGAAACUUCUGGAACAGAGAGCUCCUUGUCCAGGGAUGCUGCAUCUGGGUGAGCUGCUCCUUGGAUAUGGUGCAAGUGUGGCCAGGGUGUGGUGUGGAAGGAGCAGAAGUCUUCAGGACUGAAUCUGGAUGGACCACUGUGACAGCUGUAUACCCAGAUUAUAUUUCCCAGAAAGUGCCUGCAACAAUACUUCCAGUCCCAUAUGUGCUUCUAGAGCCGGUCACUCUCUCAGUUUAAAGGUGGAGUCUAUUUCCCUUCCCCUUAAGACUGCCUCAGUGGUUAGACUAUGGCAAGAAAGAUAUCAUGUGACUUCCAAGACAAAUCCUAAAAGGCAACACAGCUUCCACCUGGCUCUUUCUAUUUUGAGCCACUUACCUAUGGAACACCAGCCACCAUGUUGGAAGGAAGCCCAGGUGACAUGGAGAAGCAUCUGUGAGUGCUCUGGCAGGCACGCCAGCUUGAAUCUCAGCCAUCAGCCAGCAUCAACCACCAGAUGCGUGAGAGAGAGCCUUCACAUGACUUCAGGCCUCAGCCUGCAAGCUGUCCCAGCUUAUGCUGAGUGAGCACAGACAACCUAUCCCUGCUGAGCCCUGUCCAGUCUGCAGAUUUCUGAGCAAAAUAAAUGAUGUUAUUGUUUUAAGCC
This is a long non-coding RNA of Homo sapiens (human), 944 nucleotides long. Ensembl annotates it as TMEM220 antisense RNA 1. Its record names the gene TMEM220-AS1. Lineage: Eukaryota; Metazoa; Chordata; Mammalia; Primates; Hominidae. The record is from Ensembl.